Molecule: ribosomal RNA, 667 nt
Filed under: uncultured fungus
Lineage: Eukaryota; Fungi
Description: eukaryotic LSU rRNA
Rfam family: 5.8S ribosomal RNA (bases 247-401)
Source: RNAcentral
AAGUCGUAACAAGGUUUCCGUAGGUGAACCUGCGGAAGGAUCAUUACCGAAUUGUCAACAAGAGUUGUUGCUGGUCCUCAAAACGGGGGCAUGUGCACGCUCUGUUAACACAUCCACUCACACCCUGUGCACCCUCUGUAGUUCUGUGGUUGGGGGGCAUGUCCCUCCCGCUGUGGUUCUGCAUCUUUACACACACACUGUAACAAAGUCUCAUGGAAUGCAUCCGCGUUUAACGCAAUACAAUACAACUUUCAGCAACGGAUCUCUUGGCUCUCGCAUCGAUGAAGAACGCAGCGAAAUGCGAUAAGUAAUGUGAAUUGCAGAAUUCAGUGAAUCAUCGAAUCUUUGAACGCACCUUGCGCCCUUUGGCCAUUCCGAAGGGCAUGCCUGUUUGAGUAUCAUGAACACCUCAACUCUUCAUGGUUUUCCGUGAUGAGUUUGGACUUUGGGGGUUUUGCUGGCCUACGGUCGGCUCCUCUAAAAUGAAUUAGCUUGCCAGUGUUUGGUGGGCAUCACGGGUGUGAUAACUAUCUGCGCUUGUGGUUUUCCACCAGGGUAACCUUCAGCAGUGGGGGUUCGCUGGAGCUCACAGAUGUGUCUCUCCUCAGUGAGGAUGGCCCUUUGAAUGUUUGAUCUCAAAUCAGGUAGGACUACCCGCUGAACUUAA